This 424-nucleotide ribosomal RNA is filed under the name uncultured Clostridium sp. RNAcentral's name for it is "bacterial SSU rRNA". It matches the Rfam family "Bacterial small subunit ribosomal RNA", at positions 338 to 779 of the family's 1533-position model. Lineage: Bacteria; Bacillati; Bacillota; Clostridia; Eubacteriales; Clostridiaceae. The record is from RNAcentral.
CCUACGGGAGGCAGCAGUGGGGAAUAUUGCACAAUGGGGGAAACCCUGAUGCAGCGACGCCGCGUGAGCGAUGAAGUAUUUCGGUAUGUAAAGCUCUAUCAGCAGGGAAGAUAAUGACGGUACCUGACUAAGAAGCUCCGGCUAAAUACGUGCCAGCAGCCGCGGUAAUACGUAUGGAGCAAGCGUUAUCCGGAUUUACUGGGUGUAAAGGGAGCGUAGGCGGUCCUGCAAGUCUGAUGUGAAAGGCCGGGGCUCAACCCCGGGACUGCAUUGGAAACUGUAGGACUAGAGUGUCGGAGGGGUAAGUGGAAUUCCUAGUGUAGCGGUGAAAUGCGUAGAUAUUAGGAGGAACACCAGUGGCGAAGGCGGCUUACUGGACGACUACUGACGCUGAGGCUCGAAAGCGUGGGGAGCAAACAGGAUU